Molecule: ribosomal RNA, 202 nt
Filed under: uncultured bacterium
Lineage: Bacteria
Description: partial 16S ribosomal RNA
Rfam family: Bacterial small subunit ribosomal RNA
Source: RNAcentral
AGUCUGCAACUCGACUGCAUGAAGUCGGAAUCGCUAGUAAUCGCAGAUCAGCAAAGCUGCGGUGAAUACGUUCCCGGGCCCUUGUACACACCGCCCGUCACACCACGGGAGUCGGUCGCGCCUGAAGCCGGGUGGCCCAUCAGUAAUGGGGGAGCCGUCUAUGGCGAGAUUGGUAACUGGGGUGAAGUCGUAACAAGGUAGC